GGAAAAAACUCGGCAGAGCUGCCGUGGCCAAAACCUUAAACCCUUUCCGAUGAGCCCCUUCUCGUUUAUCAUUUCACGCGAUUUUUCGACCACUGUGUUCAUUGUUCUUUUCUGUGUUGGUUAGCUGAAGAAGAAACCCCAGCCGCGAAUGAGAACCGGUGAAGCCGCCGCGCUUAGAGACCCUCAUGCUGAUAGGUUCGAUUUUUUGUGUUUUUUAGCCAACCAAGGCCCCAUAGCAUGUUUUUCCACAGGAGUCCAUGUAAAAUCGACCAAAACUGGCCAAAAUUGGCUUAACCAAGGUGAAUCACCAUCGUGAGCGGCGGAGCCGGCACUGGAGCACGGUGGUGCCACUGUGCCGGAACCCUAAAAUUAGCCAGAAAGGUUUUCGCACCAAUUUAGGGUUUUUUAGGAUAUUUUAGUCGUAUGAUGAGUAUUUUAGAUUUUCGCAAAAAAAUUCAGAAAACCCGAGACCCGUUAUGAGGCAUAGUAGGUAGCGCGACAUCUCAAAACACCAAUCAGGAUAAGGAUCCCUCACCCUAUAUCUUGUUAUCAUAAAUGGAGGCUUAAUAAUUGAUAAUUGUGUAUUUUGUAAAAAUUAGAAAAACUCUAACAAUAAUUACAGAUCACUCGUGGAGGCAGAAAAUUGGUUAGCGUACAUUUACCCUAAGCUUGCUUGUGUUGCCUAUUUAUUUUUCUAUACUACUUAAAUUGUUUGUUAUUCCAAAAUAUGAUUUAAAUUAUCACAUUUAAUCGCUUUCUCAUUAUAAAUUGCCUGAUUGUAAUUCUUAUCUGAUUGACUAAGUUAAAAAUAAAGGCACUAAGUACAUUUCUUGAUUAUUAAAGUAUGAAGUUGUAUUAUUUGCAUAAAUGUCGUUUAAUUAAUCUGUGAAUAUGAUAUGAGAGGUUGAUAUGCGCUUGGUGUUUAUUUUAUUGAUGGAGAGCUUCAUGUGAAAGGCUUACUGGUUAUCCUGGGAAAGGGCGGACGGGUCUGGUACAUAGGAAACCUUACCAUAAAUGUUACCUCAGUUGGACGGGGUUGGGAAGUUCUGUACCAAAAGGGUUUGGGAGAUAUGGUUCACCCUCAUACCGAAUGGGGUAUCGAGAUGAUAGAAUGUUUGGUACCCAUUAUCAGAUGGGAUAUAGAGACAACCGAUUAAUUGAUAAAUUUAGAUAUUUGGUUCAUGCAUAGGGGCACAUCCUUAUGAACCCCUAGGUGUACCAGUAAGCAGGUAAAAAAGGAAAAUUGUCAUUUUUUGUUCACUUGUAGGUAAAAUUAAAAAGUUGUAUCGAUAUUGGUCUUUAUAUGUUGAUUUUUGGAAAACUCGUAAGGGUUUCAUUAAUUGUUUUGUGAUUUUUACCAACCUUUAUUUUUUGUAUUAGUGAUUAGUGUGAUAUUCUUACUGGGCUAGUGUAGCUCACCAUUCUAUUAACCAUUUCAAAUUAAGAGGACCAGGAUCCAGAUCACGAUCAGCAAAAAGGUUGUGAGUAGUUUACCUCCUAGAU
RNAcentral lists this long non-coding RNA (1503 nucleotides) under Carica papaya (papaya). Its description in RNAcentral is "long non-coding RNA (CPAP_LNC013806)". The record is from RNAcentral. Lineage: Eukaryota; Viridiplantae; Streptophyta; Magnoliopsida; Brassicales; Caricaceae.